UUUAAGGAAUGAUCACCUUACAUUUGGAGCUAGGAGGGGUGUGCAAGGAAGAAAUGUGAAAUUAUCUCCAGAAAUGCCUUCUGUUCAGGCAAGAAACUCUGGGAUACCAUCCAAGUCCGGAUCAACGUUGGAUUCAAAUGGAGUUGACUCACAUUGGAAUGUAUUGAAACUUUUGAAGUCCUAUGGCCCACAAGAUCUUGCCUCAUUGUAUAAUAAUUGUGGACCCAGUAAUAGUGGAGACCCUAAUAUCAGUCAAGAAGGGAAAGGACCUUUCCAAUACCUGCAGCACUCUAACAGUAUGUCACAAAAAAGGAGCAUUAAUCACCCUCAUAGUGGAUCUUUAGACAAGAAAGAGUACAUGACCCAAUGAGACCUGCCAGUGGAACAAGAUCCAUUGAAAGCUGUGAAUGGAAUGUUCUUUCUGUAUCCAAGUUGAUUUUUUGGCGGCAACCAGCUGGCCCACUCGAGAUCUAACAACACCUGAAGUUUGAGAUCCACACCAAAUAAGCUGUGAUGUCUACAUGUAUAGAACACUACUAUUCAUUUUUGGGUUACGUUUUUUUGUUCUGUUCAAACACAGUUGUAAGCAGAAACUAUAUAUACACAUACAUACAAAAUGCCUUGUAUUCCGUUUUGAUUAUGACCUUGAAAUUGUAUUGUUUGAAUUGUCAAGUGUUCCUGUUUUUUGCAAUAACUACAUUGCUUGGCACUAAUAAUUUGAGUUUGGGGCCAUCAUUUUUUGUUUAUAACUUUUUUCAAAGCGAAAAUAGAUUUUGGUACGUGAUAUUGACAUUUCUGGGAAAAUGUAUAACUCUUAUUGAACUUUUUCUUUAAUUUGAAAAAUGAGCAAUAAAUUGUAUGACCUGUGGUAAUGCUUCUAGCAUCAGUCUUCCAAUAGUCUCUUUAUAUUCCAUUUGGUCUUCAGUUGCACAGCUGUGGCAAGCAAUACUUAAGUUGGGAACCUUUUAUGCUUGGUUUGUAACAUUUAGUAAAUCUUUUGUUUGAACACUAGAUUGCUUUAGAGUCUCCUGCAGCAGGACCUUGAUUGUUAAUAUUGUGAAAAUCAUACAUGCAUGGGAGAGGCAUUAAGUAAGUGCCCCUUACACAGAGCUCUGAAAUGUCACAGCAUAGUGUUGGAUUAUCUUACAAUAUCAUGAAUGCUGUCCACUAGACAAAUAAUGCACUAUUGGAAUAUGACGUGGGAAUUUUUUCAAAAUCAAACAUGGUAGAUUGCAGCAAGACACUUGCUGGGUCAUCUCAAGUCAACUAAUGAUUUGGAAGUUUCUGUAUGUACAAAGUUAACAACACAGCAAAGUGAAAAUUCUGAACCAUUGUUUAAAUCUGCAUAAUUUGAAGUGACUUGUGUGUAUUGUAUUAUUUUGUUUUUGCUUUCCUUGCUCAAUUUCAGCCCAAGUGAUUUUGUAGAAUGCGUGCAAGAUCAAAACUGGAAGGGGUUUGUUUUGCUAAUAGAGAGGGGAGAUGCACUGUUGCAAGAUAUGUUUUUGUAAUUUCAUGCAUUAAUAUGCAAGUUUCUUGAGACUUCUCCCAGAUGUGGAAGACUACUUCUUUACAGGCAGAAGACUUCUGCACCUCCUCUUCCCCAGGUGGAACAUUGAGCCGAGAACUGAAGUAGUACCUUAUAAUUGUCACAAUGUGUCGCAACACUCUUGUUUUGAUGGCCCUUCAAGCUGCAGUUCGACAGAUUCUGAAAAAAAAAAGUUCUUGUCUGGAGAUGUGUAACUGAACAGAUGUUUAAGUAUUAGCACUAGGCCCAAAAUAAAAUCAAAAGUUGAACCAUAAAGUUAAAAUCCUCACGUUGGAUGUUGCCCACUUUCUUGUAGGCUACUGACAACAUUGAGGGUAUUCUUUACUAGCUGAUGAUUUAAUUUUUGUGCUUUCAAAUCCUUAAUCUAAAUGAUCCCAGAAGACUUUGAUGUUAAGAUUUUGUUUGUGGUUUUAUUUUACAUAAAGCUGCACAUUUGGCAUACUAAGGUGGAGAAGCAAUGGGAUUAUUUUUACCCUUUUCUGUGUGAACUUUAGUUUUAACUGAAGUAACACUGCGUGAUGAGUGCUGAGCAUCCUAAAUUAUUAUUCAGUUUCAUCAUGUACUAGCUCAUUUAUUGUACAACAUUUUUGGUAAAGUUAUCGCUGAAAUGUUGAUAUCUUCCCCGCCGCCCCCCCCAAGCAAUCUGUACAAGGGCAGCUAUGUUCUAGUCAUAUUUGAUACUCUUUCCUGCAGCUUAUCUAUUGAUUGUGUUCUCCCAUAAGCACAACUGCUAUAUCUUUUGUUUUCUGAUUGAAUGUAUAUUAACAGUUCAAGCUUUAGUAUACUCUUAAGUAAUGCUUACCACAGCUAUGCUUAAAUUUGUUGUAUUGGUUGAAAUUCAGUGAAUUUACCAUUUUUAGACACAUUGUUCUGCAACAUUUAAAGUGCUUAGUUGAUUAGUUUUCCAGGUUGUGUAGCUGAAAAAUUUAAGUCAAUAAUUCUUUUGAAGACUAUCCAUUUACUGAACUUGCCCCUUUAAUCUUGCCACUUUUAAUGCACAUUUUAAAGUCAUUUCAUUGUACUUUAGUUCUGCGAGGAAGAUAUUGCAUUUUGAUUCUUGAACUAAUUUCAAUAAUCCCUUUCUGUCUUUGAGAAUUGAGCUUCUCUACUUGUUUUAUGAUUUGUUAUUUGACUGGGACCAAUGGUAUUGGGAAGUUUCAAAUAGGCUGAAAAUAAACUUUUGCUACAAAUAAUUCAAUUAUCAAAUUUACAUUAUGAAAUGCACUAAAUUUCCAUUUUGAGAGCAAGGUGGAAUGAACAGAACUGUGAUUUAGUACAAAUGGAAGUCAACAAGUGCGUGAGACUUUGGAAGAAUUUGGCUUCUUUUCUUUAGCAUUCUCUAACCUGAAUUUCAAGAGACAACAAUGACCAAGGAUAUUGUGUAGAAAUGGCAAUUUGUAUAUACUGCACUAGUGACAGGAAUGCUGUGUAUUAACGUACUAGCCCUGUACCCUGGGGAAGAAGUGUAUAUAGAAGUGAAGUUCCGGGCAGUUUUGUUUUGAGAUGGGUAAUGGGCCAGUAUUCAUUCAUUUAUGAUAUUAGGCUUAGUAGAUAGCCUCAAUUGUUUUUUUAAUGUAAAUACAGCAAAUGUAACAUUUCAAUACAAUUGGGCUGCUAAAAUAUUUUCUGUUCAUUUUGUACAUUUGUUUAGGUGAAGGGGAUUUUUUUGGUUGAAUUCCAAGUGGUUUUUAUGAAGUAAUUGAGGCUUUUGGCUAGCUAUAGAUUUUCUUUUAAAGAAUUGGAUAAUAUUUUGACUUUUUUAAAAGAUGGAUUAGUUGAAAGCAAUCUGUAUUCAUCAUUGAAAACAUCUUGGUGCACAGCAUACACAGAACAUUGGUACAUGGUCUGUCAGCUCUCCACAAAUGCUGCUAACAUACCCUUGGUAAUGGAACCAUUGGAAGACUGUGAACUUUGCAUAUAGUUUUACUGUGCCUGAUAGUUAUGUUUCAACUGUUAACUCAUGUUUGUAAAACGCAUUGUUAUUUUCCCAUUUAAGAAUUUGGUGAUACACAAAGGAGAAACUAGCUAUGCAGCAAGAUGAUGUGUGUGUAUGUUAUAUUAGUCUUACAGUCUGUUCUAAUACUUCCAAGCAGAGCGUCUGAAUUGUGACGUGUGCCUUACCAAGAAAUCUCAAACUCAUAAUUUUCUUGGGAAAAAGAAAUAUGCUCAACAGAUUGAGCAGUCUUUGUUUUGGUUUGGGGUUUGUAAUAUUGACACUACUGACCUCUUGUGACCAUGGAUUCUGAUUUUCUUUCUCCUAGAGAAGACUGAGCCAUAUGUACAUGUGCUAGAAAAUGUUUUAUAGUUGCACUUUUUAAUGCAUAUUUUUGAAACUGUAAUGCAUCAAAUACAGGGGCUAAAAGUUGCUUGUUUGAUCUGAAAUAUAAAAUUGUUGCUUGAGGGUGCAUGCUGAAUUCAUGAAUUCCUAUUCCAUUGAAUUUUGAAUAUAUUUCUUUACAAUGCAAUUUAUGGGGAAUUUCCAUCCAUGUCUUUUGGAUCCCUCAGUGUUACAACAUUAGAAAAUAAAAGUUUUGUGUUUGUAGUUGGGCACACUGUGUAGUAUGCAUAUUAAGGUACAUCUUAUUUAAUUCAGUUUUCUUUUUGUAUUUAUUACAUAUGGAUCUUUUUGAUUUCUUUAAUCAUGUUCAACCAUACAAUAGUGUUUCAGACUGUCUCUAAUUUAUGAUGUACUGUUAUUUGAUGUACAUUCAUCCAGUUUUGGAAUAUAUAUAUGGUGUUUUGCA
Long non-coding RNA from Rhincodon typus (whale shark), 4290 nucleotides. RefSeq lists it as uncharacterized. Lineage: Eukaryota; Metazoa; Chordata; Chondrichthyes; Orectolobiformes; Rhincodontidae. The transcript is spliced from 3 exons. The record is from RefSeq and is a predicted model, not a curated record.